This 513-nucleotide ribosomal RNA is filed under the name uncultured bacterium. Its description in RNAcentral is "partial 16S ribosomal RNA". It matches the Rfam family "Bacterial small subunit ribosomal RNA", at positions 28 to 523 of the family's 1533-position model. The record is from RNAcentral.
GAUGAACGCUGGCGGCGUGCCUAAUACAUGCAAGUCGAGCGAAUGGAUUAAGAGCUUGCUCUUAUGAAGUUAGCGGCGGACGGGUGAGUAACACGUGGGUAACCUGCCCAUAAGACUGGGAUAACUCCGGGAAACCGGGGCUAAUACCGGAUAACAUUUUGAACCGCAUGGUUCGAAAUUGAAAGGCGGCUUCGGCUGUCACUUAUGGAUGGACCCGCGUCGCAUUAGCUAGUUGGUGAGGUAACGGCUCACCAAGGCAACGAUGCGUAGCCGGCCUGAGAGGGUGGUCGGCCACACUGGGACUGAGACACGGCCCAGACUCCUACGGGAGGCAGCAGUAGGGAAUCUUCCGCAAUGGACGAAAGUCUGACGGAGCAACGCCGCGUGAGUGAUGAAGGUCUUUGGAUUGUAAACUCCUGUCAGCAGGGAAAAGCGACUUAGCCUAAUACGCUAGGGAGUUGAUUGUACCUGCAGAGGAAGCCCCGGCUAACUCUGUGCCAGCCGCCGCGGUAA